Molecule: ribosomal RNA, 1397 nt
Filed under: Cymbiola nobilis
Lineage: Eukaryota; Metazoa; Mollusca; Gastropoda; Neogastropoda; Volutidae
Description: 16S ribosomal RNA
Rfam family: Archaeal large subunit ribosomal RNA (bases 660-1397)
Source: RNAcentral
UUCUUAUAUCUGGUUUGUGAGUAUUAAUUUUUUUAUGUUGUUAAUUUAAUAUUAAAACAUUUAGACAUUUAGUAAAGGCGAUUGAAAAUAUUUACAUAAAUAACCUUAAUAAGUACUGUAGAGGAAAUAUUGGAAUUAAGAAAAAGUAGAAAUUAUUAUUCGUACCUUUUGCAUCAUGGUUUAGCUAGAUUUAAGUUUGAUAUUAAGUUUCUCGAAAUCUGACGAGCUAUUUUUGUCCCUUAUAUAUAGUAAGUUUAGGAGUAGUUGUAGAAUAAAUUUUCUGAGAGAUAAAGAUAGAGAUGACAUUUCAUUCGCGUUAGAUGAUAGCUAGUUCUUCUAAAAGGUAUAUAAGUACUCUGAAUUGAGAAAUUUGAGUGUAAUAGACACAGAAAAUUAUCAAAUUUAGGUGAGUUAGUAAGGAUAAGCUUGUUAAUGUCAUUUAAUAAGAGCUUUCAAUUUUAUGUUAUCUAUAGGCUUAAAAAUAGUCAUUAUAAAUAAAGUAUGUUAUAAUAUUAUUUAAUUUAUAGAAAAUAUAAUUUAUUUGCUUUAAUUAAUAGAGAGGUUAAUUUAUAAACUAUGCAAUUAGAUUGAAUUAAUGCUAAGAUGAGUAUUAAAAAUCUUAUAAAUAUUUAAUUGUGAAGUAUUAUUGAAAUUUAAAAUAUUAUAUUCGAUUUAAAUUAUGGAAAGGAACUCGGCAAAAAUGUAUUCUGCCUGUUUAUCAAAAACAUCGCUCUUCGCUAAGUUAUAUAUGAAGAGUCGGACCUGCCCGGUGAUUUUUUUAACGGCCGCGGUACUCUGACCGUGCAAAGGUAGCAUAAUCACUUGCCUUAUAAUUGAAGGCUGGAAUGAAUGGUUUGACAAGAGUACGACUGUCUCUUCAUAAUUUUAUAGAAUUUAAUUUUUAGGUGAAGAAGCCUAAAUAUAAUUGAAAGACGAGAAGACCCUAUCGAGCUUUAAAGAAAUUAGUGACCUAGAAGAAAAUAUAAAAUAAAAGCAUAAGUUACUAAAAAUUUUGGUUGGGGCGACAAAGGAAUAAAGAAAGCUUCCUAUAUUCAGUUCUUUAUUUUUCAAAUAUUGAUCCAAUAGUAAUUGAUUAGAGAAAAUAGUUACCGUAGGGAUAACAGCAUAAUCUUUUUUGAGAGCUCAUAUUGAAAAAAAGGUUUGUGACCUCGAUGUUGGAUCAGAAUGUCCUAAAGAUGCAGAAGUCUUUAAGGGUUGGUCUGUUCGACCAUUAAAAUUCUACGUGAUCUGAGUUCAGACCGGCGUGAGCCAGGUCAGUUUCUAUCUUCAAUUUAAUGUAUAAACUUAGUACGAAAGGACCAGUAUAUAGUAAUUUUAAUAUAAUUGAUGAAUAAAUAUAAUUGUUAAUUGAGUUUUACAAAUACUUGAUUUGUUGA